This 253-nucleotide ribosomal RNA is filed under the name uncultured bacterium. RNAcentral's name for it is "partial 16S ribosomal RNA". It matches the Rfam family "Bacterial small subunit ribosomal RNA", at positions 524 to 776 of the family's 1533-position model. The record is from RNAcentral.
UACAGAGGGGGCAAGCGUUGUUCGGAAUUACUGGGCGUAAAGGGCGCGUAGGCGGCCUUCUAAGUCGAACGUGAAAUCCCCGGGCUCAGCCCGGGAACUGCGUCCGAUACUGGAAGGCUUGAAUCCGGGAGAGGGAUGUGGAAUUCCAGGUGUAGCGGUGAAAUGCGUAGAUAUCUGGAGGAACACCGGUGGCGAAGGCGGCAUCCUGGACCGGUAUUGACGCUGAGGCGCGAAAGCUAGGGGAGCAAACGGG